Molecule: long non-coding RNA, 324 nt
Organism: Lontra canadensis (Northern American river otter)
Lineage: Eukaryota; Metazoa; Chordata; Mammalia; Carnivora; Mustelidae
Exons: 3
Source: RefSeq, a predicted model, not a curated record
CGCGGCCCCACCCUCACGGAGUUUACCGUCUAAUGGGGAAGACAGUGGUCACAGCACACAGAUAGGAGUAAAAUGUCAAAUUGUGGCUUCUACAAUCCCUCCCUAUCAUGUGGACGAAGGGCUUCCGCCUUCCAGGGAAGGUGAAUGAAACCAGUGUUUCGUCACCAUCUCCUCCAUCCUGACUUCCUGGGGUGUGUGCCAAGGUGCAGCUGAAAACCAUGAACUCUACACCCAGCGUGGGGCUCGAACUUACGAACCUGAGAUCAAGCUUUCUACCAAGUGAGUCAGCCAGCCACCCCAGUUGUCAAACAUUUUGAAUGUAAA